This 71-nucleotide transfer RNA is filed under the name Daphnia magna. It matches the Rfam family "tRNA". From Rfam's summary of the family: Transfer RNA (tRNA) molecules are approximately 80 nucleotides in length. The record is from Rfam by way of RNAcentral. Lineage: Eukaryota; Metazoa; Arthropoda; Branchiopoda; Diplostraca; Daphniidae.
GCAUGGAUGGUUCAGUGGUAGAAUGCUCGCCUGCCAUGCGGGCUGCCUGGGUUCGACUCUCGGUCGAUGCA